RNAcentral lists this long non-coding RNA (667 nucleotides) under Ananas comosus (pineapple). RNAcentral describes it as "long non-coding RNA (ACOM_LNC030376)". The record is from RNAcentral. Lineage: Eukaryota; Viridiplantae; Streptophyta; Magnoliopsida; Poales; Bromeliaceae.
GAUACGCACCAGAAGCCAUCUUCACUGAUCGGCCUCUCCGAAAAACCGGAGUUACUAUUCACUUUAAGUGAUUAGUAUUGAUCGCGUAACUUCUCCAUUCUAACUCGUUUUCUCCUGAAACUUCACAAGUGCUUAUGUAAUUAAAUUACACAUAAAAAUAUCAUCAAAAGAGAUUUUAGCUACACUGCCAAAAUCUCAAUCCUUACAAUUUAUUAUUUAAAUAAUUAAAUAAUGUAUUAUUUAUAAUUAAUUAGCUAAUUAAAUAAUUAAUUAUUAUAAUGUUUAUGCAAAAUCUAAUAUUUAUGUUGACCAACUCAUUAAUAUUUUGACUACUCUAAUUAUUUUAUUAACUAAUUAUCUAACUAUUAGAUAAUUAAUUAAUUGAUUUAUUAAUUUACUAAAUCACUUGUGAGACCCCAGUUAGUCCUAUAUAUAGGAUAUAAUAAGGCUAAACUCUUAAUCCGGCUUAAGCAUUUUGGGUGGUGGCUAGAUCCAAGAGGUUAAGAGAGUUAAGCGUGCUAGGACAGGAGUAGUCCUAGGAUGGAUAACCUCCUGGGAAGUUGGGACGUCACUCUUGGUAUCAGAGCCAAUUACCAAUUAGAAGUACUCACAUUGCCUGCUACUUGUAAAGUCUGAGCCUGACAAGGACGUCAAGACUUAAAGGAGG